UACAGAGGGGGCAAGCGUUGUUCGGAAUUACUGGGCGUAAAGGGCGCGUAGGCGGCCUGCUAAGUCGAACGUGAAAUCCCUGGGCUCAACCCAGGAACUGCGUCCGAUACUGGUUGGCUUGAAUCCGGGAGAGGGACGUGGAAUUCCAGGUGUAGCGGUGAAAUGCGUAGAUAUCUGGAGGAACACCGGUGGCGAAGGCGACGUCCUGGACCGGCAUUGACGCUGAGGCGCGACAGCGUGGGGAGCAAACGGG
This 253-nucleotide ribosomal RNA is filed under the name uncultured bacterium. Its description in RNAcentral is "partial 16S ribosomal RNA". It matches the Rfam family "Bacterial small subunit ribosomal RNA", at positions 524 to 776 of the family's 1533-position model. The record is from RNAcentral.